Molecule: ribosomal RNA, 253 nt
Filed under: uncultured bacterium
Lineage: Bacteria
Description: partial 16S ribosomal RNA
Rfam family: Bacterial small subunit ribosomal RNA
Source: RNAcentral
UACGUAGGGGGCAAGCGUUGUCCGGAUUUAUUGGGCGUAAAGAGCGUGUAGGCGGCCAGACAGGUCCGUUGUGAAAACUAGAGGCUUAACCUCUAGACGUCGAUGGAAACCGUCUGGCUAGAGUCCGGAAGAGGAGAAUGGAAUUCCUGGUGUAGCGGUGAAAUGCGCAGAUAUCAGGAAGAACACCCGUGGCUAAGGCGGUUCUCUAGUACGGUACUGAUGCUGAGACGCGAAAGCGUGGGGAGCGAACAGG